Molecule: ribosomal RNA, 395 nt
Filed under: uncultured bacterium
Lineage: Bacteria
Description: bacterial SSU rRNA
Rfam family: Bacterial small subunit ribosomal RNA
Source: RNAcentral
AAACGCGAAGAACCUUACCAGGUCUUGACAUCUUCUGCUAACCUAAGAGAUUAGGCGUUCCCUUCGGGGACGGAAUGACAGGUGGUGCAUGGUUGUCGUCAGCUCGUGUCGUGAGAUGCUGGGUUAAGUCCCGCAACGAGCGCAACCCUUAUUGUCAGUUGCCAGCAUUUAGUUGGGCACUCUGGCGAGACUGCCGGUGACAAACCGGAGGAAGGUGGGGAUGACGUCAAAUCAUCAUGCCCCUUAUGACCUGGGCUACACACGUGCUACAAUGGACGGUACAACGAGUCGCGAAACCGCGAGGUCAAGCUAAUCUCUUAAAGCCGUUCUCAGUUCGGAUUGUAGGCUGCAACUCGCCUACAUGAAGUUGGAAUCGCUAGUAAUCGUGGAUCAGC